Molecule: ribosomal RNA, 415 nt
Filed under: uncultured bacterium
Lineage: Bacteria
Description: bacterial SSU rRNA
Rfam family: Bacterial small subunit ribosomal RNA
Source: RNAcentral
AGUGAAUAGAUACCCGGGUAGUCCACGCUGUAAACGAUGGACACUGGAUUUUGGCAGUAUCGACCCUGUCAGAAAUCGAAAGCAAACGCGUUAAGUGUCCCACCUGGGGACUACGGCCGCAAGGCUAAAACUCAAAGGAAUUGACGGGGACCCGCACAAGCGGUGGAGCAUGUGGUUUAAUUCGACGGUAAACGAAGAACCUUACCGGGGUUUGACAUCUAGCUGCAUAUUCUAGAGAUAGAAUAGCCUUCGAGGGUGCUAGACAGGUGCUGCAUGGUUGUCGUCAGCUCGUGUCGUGAGAUGUUGGGUUAAGUCCCGCAACGAGCGCAACCCCCACUUAUGUGUUGUAUUUUACUACAUAAGACUGCCCUGGUUAACAGGGAGGAAGGUGGGGACGGACGUCAAAUCAGCAUGG